This 403-nucleotide ribosomal RNA is filed under the name Fusobacteriota bacterium. RNAcentral's name for it is "Fusobacteria bacterium partial 16S ribosomal RNA". It matches the Rfam family "Bacterial small subunit ribosomal RNA", at positions 355 to 776 of the family's 1533-position model. Lineage: Bacteria; Fusobacteriati; Fusobacteriota. The record is from RNAcentral.
UGGGGAAUAUUGCACAAUGGAGGGAACUCUGAUGCAGCGACGCCGCGUGAACGAAGAAGGCUUUCGAGUCGUAAAGUUCUUUUAUAUGGGAAGAUAAUGACGGUACCAUAAGAAAAAGCCCCGGCUAACUACGUGCCAGCAGCCGCGGUAAUACGUAGGGGGCUAGCGUUGUCCGGAAUCACUGGGCGUAAAGGGUUCGCAGGCGGAAAUGCAAGUCAGGUGUAAAAGGCAGUAGCUUAACUACUGUAAGCAUUUGAAACUGCAUAUCUUGAGAAGAGUAGAGGUAAGUGGAAUUUUUAGUGUAGCGGUGAGAUGCGUAGAUAUUAAAAAGAAUACCGGUGGCGAAGGCGACUUACUGGGCUCAUGCUGACGCUGAGGAACGAAAGCGUGGGUAGCAAACAGG